GUUCACUCAUAUGCCUUUGAGCCUGCAAUGUGUGUGGUCUUGCUGAUACUUGAGAUGCUUUAAAGACAUCUUUCCUAUUGAACUGAUUUAGUUACAACUUUCUAUGCAAAUUACUUAACCUCUCUUUAAUGAUGAUUAUCUCUUAACGAAUCAUAAUUUCCUUGAUCUCUGUUUUUCAUGUGCUUUUCUGGCCAAACUGCAUGUUUUUAAUCUUUUUUCUCUGCAUUUUGCUCCCAAUUUCCACAGGAAACUUUGUUAAAAGCUGACAGUAAUAUCUGUGUCACUGUCCUGAUGAAUGCUAUGUUCUGAAGUUUCCUCUGUCAGAUUAAUUGGGCCAUCACUCUUAAAUUUAGCUCCAUACAAAGUCUCAGAACAUGGCAAGAUGUAGGCAAUUUCUUUGCCAUAAUAUAACGUGAAUGGCCUCUAGUCCAAUUCUCUAUGGAGUCCUCAUUUCCCUCUGGAACCUCUUGAGCAUAGUCUUUACUGUCUGUAUUCCUAUCAACAAUCUGGUCUUCUGAGCUUCCACCAGAAUUGCCCAGUAAACUCUGCCUACAGCAUUUUAAGGCUUCUCUAGCUUGGAUCCCUAAACUUUUCCAAAUUUUCCUGCAAACCCAUUUCAAAGUUUUAUAAGCCAUGUGACCAGGUUAGUCACACCCACAACCCCACUUUUAGAUACCAGUUUCUGGGUUAGUCAGCUUUCAUCACUAUGAACAAAAUACCUGACAAGAACAAAUUGGAGGAGGAAAAGUUCAUGGGCUUGUGAUUUCAGAAGCUUCAGUCCAUGGUUGGCUGACUUUAUUGUUUUGGGCCCAAAGUGAGGCAGCACACCACAGUGGAAAGGUGGCAGCAGAGGAAAGAUGCUACCUCAUGGUGGCAGGGAAGCAGAGAGGGAGACAGAGGGAAGGUGCCCUAGGGAAGAUGAAUAGUUGCAGGGCAAAUUCCAGAGAUCCUCUCUCUUCCAGCUGUACCACACCUGCCUGUAAUUAUCACCCAGCUAGUCCGUUCCAAUCAGGAUGGACCCAUUUGGUUACAACUCUCACAGUCCAAACAUUUCACUUCCAAACUUUCAUGUACUCACAUGGGAACUUUUGGGAAAC
RNAcentral lists this long non-coding RNA (1097 nucleotides) under Marmota monax (woodchuck). The record is from RNAcentral. Lineage: Eukaryota; Metazoa; Chordata; Mammalia; Rodentia; Sciuridae.